GGUUAAGCGACUAAGCGUACACGGUGGAUGCCCUGGCAGUCAGAGGCGAUGAAGGACGUGCUAAUCUGCGAUAAGCGUCGGUAAGGUGAUAUGAACCGUUAUAACCGGCGAUUUCCGAAUGGGGAAACCCAGUGUGUUUCGACACACUAUCAUUAACUGAAUCCAUAGGUUAAUGAGGCGAACCGGGGAACUGAAACAUCUAAGUACCCCGAGGAAAAGAAAUCAACCGAGAUUCCCCCAGUAGCGGCGAGCGAACGGGGAGGAGCCCAGAGCCUGAAUCAGUGUGUGUGUUAGUGGAAGCGUCUGGAAAGGCGCGCGAUACAGGGUGACAGCCCCGUACACAAAAAUGCACAUGCUGUGAGCUCGAUGAGUAGGGCGGGACACGUGGUAUCCUGUCUGAAUAUGGGGGGACCAUCCUCCAAGGCUAAAUACUCCUGACUGACCGAUAGUGAACCAGUACCGUGAGGGAAAGGCGAAAAGAACCCCGGCGAGGGGAGUGAAAAAGAACCUGAAACCGUGUACGUACAAGCAGUGGGAGCACAGAGCAAUCUGUGUGACUGCGUACCUUUUGUAUAAUGGGUCAGCGACUUAUAUUCUGUAGCAAGGUUAACCGAAUAGGGGAGCCGAAGGGAAACCGAGUCUUAACUGGGCGUUAAGUUGCAGGGUAUAGACCCGAAACCCGGUGAUCUAGCCAUGGGCAGGUUGAAGGUUGGGUAACACUAACUGGAGGACCGAACCGACUAAUGUUGAAAAAUUAGCGGAUGACUUGUGGCUGGGGGUGAAAGGCCAAUCAAACCGGGAGAUAGCUGGUUCUCCCCGAAAGCUAUUUAGGUAGCGCCUCGUGAAUUCAUCUCCGGGGGUAGAGCACUGUUUCGGCAAGGGGGUCAUCCCGACUUACCAACCCGAUGCAAACUGCGAAUACCGGAGAAUGUUAUCACGGGAGACACACGGCGGGUGCUAACGUCCGUCGUGAAGAGGGAAACAACCCAGACCGCCAGCUAAGGUCCCAAAGUCAUGGUUAAGUGGGAAACGAUGUGGGAAGGCCCAGACAGCCAGGAUGUUGGCUUAGAAGCAGCCAUCAUUUAAAGAAAGCGUAAUAGCUCACUGGUCGAGUCGGCCUGCGCGGAAGAUGUAACGGGGCUAAACCAUGCACCGAAGCUGCGGCAGCGACACUGUGUGUUGUUGGGUAGGGGAGCGUUCUGUAAGCCUGUGAAGGUGUGCUGUGAGGCAUGCUGGAGGUAUCAGAAGUGCGAAUGCUGACAUAAGUAACGAUAAAGCGGGUGAAAAGCCCGCUCGCCGGAAGACCAAGGGUUCCUGUCCAACGUUAAUCGGGGCAGGGUGAGUCGACCCCUAAGGCGAGGCCGAAAGGCGUAGUCGAUGGGAAACAGGUUAAUAUUCCUGUACUUGGUGUUACUGCGAAGGGGGGACGGAGAAGGCUAUGUUGGCCGGGCGACGGUUGUCCCGGUUUAAGCGUGUAGGCUGGUUUUCCGAGCAAAUCCGGAAAAUCAAGGCUGAGGCGUGAUGACGAGGCACUACGGUGCUGAAGCAACAAAUGCCCUGCUUCCAGGAAAAGCCUCUAAGCAUCAGGUAACAUCAAAUCGUACCCCAAACCGACACAGGUGGUCAGGUAGAGAAUACCAAGGCGCUUGAGAGAACUCGGGUGAAGGAACUAGGCAAAAUGGUGCCGUAACUUCGGGAGAAGGCACGCUGAUAUGUAGGUGAAGUCCCUCGCGGAUGGAGCUGAAAUCAGUCGAAGAUACCAGCUGGCUGCAACUGUUUAUUAAAAACACAGCACUGUGCAAACACGAAAGUGGACGUAUACGGUGUGACGCCUGCCCGGUGCCGGAAGGUUAAUUGAUGGGGUCAGCGCAAGCGAAGCUCUUGAUCGAAGCCCCGGUAAACGGCGGCCGUAACUAUAACGGUCCUAAGGUAGCGAAAUUCCUUGUCGGGUAAGUUCCGACCUGCACGAAUGGCGUAAUGAUGGCCAGGCUGUCUCCACCCGAGACUCAGUGAAAUUGAACUCGCUGUGAAGAUGCAGUGUACCCGCGGCAAGACGGAAAGACCCCGUGAACCUUUACUAUAGCUUGACACUGAACAUUGAGCCUUGAUGUGUAGGAUAGGUGGGAGGCUUUGAAGUGUGGACGCCAGUCUGCAUGGAGCCGACCUUGAAAUACCACCCUUUAAUGUUUGAUGUUCUAACGUGGACCCGUGAUCCGGGUUGCGGACAGUGUCUGGUGGGUAGUUUGACUGGGGCGGUCUCCUCCUAAAGAGUAACGGAGGAGCACGAAGGUUGGCUAAUCCCGGUCGGACAUCAGGAGGUUAGUGCAAUGGCAUAAGCCAGCUUGACUGCGAGCGUGACGGCGCGAGCAGGUGCGAAAGCAGGUCAUAGUGAUCCGGUGGUUCUGAAUGGAAGGGCCAUCGCUCAACGGAUAAAAGGUACUCCGGGGAUAACAGGCUGAUACCGCCCAAGAGUUCAUAUCGACGGCGGUGUUUGGCACCUCGAUGUCGGCUCAUCACAUCCUGGGGCUGAAGUAGGUCCCAAGGGUAUGGCUGUUCGCCAUUUAAAGUGGUACGCGAGCUGGGUUUAGAACGUCGUGAGACAGUUCGGUCCCUAUCUGCCGUGGGCGCUGGAGAACUGAGGGGGGCUGCUCCUAGUACGAGAGGACCGGAGUGGACGCAUCACUGGUGUUCGGGUUGUCAUGCCAAUGGCACUGCCCGGUAGCUAAAUGCGGAAGAGAUAAGUGCUGAAAGCAUCUAAGCACGAAACUUGCCCCGAGAUGAGUUCUCCCUGACCCUUUAAGGGUCCUGAAGGAACGUUGAAGACGACGACGUUGAUAGGCCGGGUGUGUAAGCGCAGCGAUGCGUUGAGCUAACCGGUACUAAUGAACCGUGAGGCUUAACCUU
This 2904-nucleotide ribosomal RNA is filed under the name Escherichia coli. Its description in RNAcentral is "23S ribosomal RNA". It matches the Rfam family "Bacterial large subunit ribosomal RNA". Lineage: Bacteria; Pseudomonadati; Pseudomonadota; Gammaproteobacteria; Enterobacterales; Enterobacteriaceae. The record is from RNAcentral.